GGUAUCCCUGUAGGAAGUUGCUAUCGAUCAAGGACGAACGUUGAGGGAUCGAAGACGAUCAGAUGCCGUCGCAGUU
This 76-nucleotide ribosomal RNA is filed under the name uncultured eukaryote. Its description in RNAcentral is "partial Eukaryotic small subunit ribosomal RNA". The record is from RNAcentral.